GGAGGAAAAGAAACCAACAGGGAUUGCCUCAGUAACGGCGAGUGAAGCGGCAAGAGCUCAACUUUGGAAUCGCUGCGGCGAGUUGUAGUCUGGAGGUGGCCGGUCCCGGCGCCAGCGCGCAGCCAAGUCCUUUGGAACAAGGCGCCUGAGAGGGUGACAGCCCCGUGGCAGUUUGUGCUGGUGCCGCCUCGGCCCACCGACGAGUCGAGUUGUUUGGGAAUGCAGCUCUAAGUGGGUGGUAAAUUCCAUCUAAAGCUAAAUACCGGCGAGAGACCGAUAGCGAACAAGUACAGUAAUGGAAAGAUGAAAAGCACUUUGAAAAGAGAGUGAAACAGUACGUGAAAUUGUUGAAAGGGAAGGGCUUGCACCCAGACACGGCCUUCUGGCCGGGCCAGCAUCGGGUGGGAGGGAGCGACAACGAGCAGUCGAUGUAGUACAGCCCUCUGGGCUGUGCAUUAUACGUCUUGCUUUCUGGCUCCUCUCCCGCCCGAGGACCGCAGCAAUAAGGAUGCUGGCGCAAUGGUUGCAAGCCACCCGUCUUGA
RNAcentral lists this ribosomal RNA (543 nucleotides) under Candidozyma haemuli. Its description in RNAcentral is "LSU rRNA". It matches the Rfam family "Eukaryotic large subunit ribosomal RNA", at positions 52 to 657 of the family's 3401-position model. The record is from RNAcentral. Lineage: Eukaryota; Fungi; Ascomycota; Pichiomycetes; Serinales; Metschnikowiaceae.